GUGCUCACUUCAGCAGCACAUAUACUCAAAUUGGAACAAUACAUAGAAAAUUAGCAUGGCCCUUGCACAAGGAUGAUGGGCAAAUUCAUAAAGCAGUCCAUAUUUUU
Small nuclear RNA from Cavia porcellus (domestic guinea pig), 107 nucleotides. NCBI's taxonomy places the organism in Eukaryota, Metazoa, Chordata, Mammalia, Rodentia, Caviidae. The record is from Ensembl.